GGAUAGCUCAAUUGGUAGAGCAUGAGACUUACCGUAUUUUUUGCUCUAUAAGACUCACUUUUCCCCUCCUAAAAAGUAAGGGGAAAUGUGUGUGCGUCUUAUGGAGCGAAUGCAGGCCGCGCAGCUAUCCCAGAAGCCAGAACAGCAAGAGGGAUUGCUGCUUUCACUGCGCAGCGAUCCUUCUUGCUGUUCUGGCUUCUGAGAUUCAGAAUAUUUUUUUUCUUUCUUGUUUUCUUCCUCCAAAAACUAGGUGCGUCUUGUGGUCUGGUGCGUCUUAUAGAGCGAAAAAUACGGUAAUCUCAGGAUUGUGGGUUCAAGUCCCAUGUUGGGCA
This is a non-coding RNA of Podarcis lilfordi (Lilford's wall lizard), 332 nucleotides long. The record is from the annotation of a GenBank genome assembly. NCBI's taxonomy places the organism in Eukaryota, Metazoa, Chordata, Lepidosauria, Squamata, Lacertidae.